Molecule: ribosomal RNA, 274 nt
Filed under: uncultured bacterium
Lineage: Bacteria
Description: partial 16S ribosomal RNA
Rfam family: Bacterial small subunit ribosomal RNA
Source: RNAcentral
CUACGGAGGGUGCAAGCGUUAAUCGGAAUUACUGGGCGUAAAGCGUACGUAGGCGGUUCGUUAAGUUAGAUGUGAAAGCCCCGGGCUUAACCUGGGAACUGCAUUUAAAACUGGCGAACUAGAGUUGAGUAGAGGGGAGUGGAAUUUCAGGUGUAGCGGUGAAAUGCGUAGAGAUCUGAAGGAACACCAGUGGCGAAGGCGACUCCCUGGACUCGAACUGACGCUGAGGUACGAAAGCGUGGGUAGCAAACGGGAUUAGAAACCCUAGUAGUCC